UUUUCUCUCUCACUCACACAUUUGUAUUGCUGCAAACCAUAGCAGCAGAGUGAAACUCUUUGCCGCCACCGUCCACUCACUCCCUCUCCUCUGUUUUCUCAACUCGUUUUCAAUGUCUCAUCCCUCCACCACCGUCGAACUCAAAAUACCUACUAGCCAUCUCCUCCAUUUUCUUCGUAUUUUAUUUUUUACUGGGUUUGUUCGUUUUAAGAUUUCACAACUUUUAACAAUUUUCUCUUUGUUUUUCUACGAUGGUAUACACGAGAAGAAAGUUGUGAAGUUGUUCAUGGUUGAGGAACAAAGAGGCUACAUUUCAUUGUGAAGUUGAAGCCAUAGACAAAGAUCUAAAUGGUAAAUAAUAGUCUUCAGAUCCACACAUUUCUCUUCAGAUCUACAUGGUAAUGUUUGGUUCUGUUGUUAGUCAAGAAAACUUAAAGCUAGGAAGAAGUAAGUUUUAAUUGAAAGAAAACAAAACAUCUUCAUGCUUCUUAAGUUCUUGUACUGGUCUAUAAGCUCAUUUCAUUGAGUUUUACUACUUGGUGUUUAUGUUAAAUUAAAACUAUGUUGAUGUUGUGUUGUAACUAUGUUGGACUAAAGUCCUUUAAUUUGUGUAUUUUUGCUGAAAAUAUUGUAUCUACAUAUUUAUUGUUGU
Molecule: long non-coding RNA, 652 nt
Organism: Trifolium pratense (red clover)
Lineage: Eukaryota; Viridiplantae; Streptophyta; Magnoliopsida; Fabales; Fabaceae
Exons: 4
Source: RefSeq, a predicted model, not a curated record